This 490-nucleotide ribosomal RNA is filed under the name uncultured bacterium. RNAcentral describes it as "partial 16S ribosomal RNA". It matches the Rfam family "Bacterial small subunit ribosomal RNA", at positions 30 to 507 of the family's 1533-position model. The record is from RNAcentral.
AUUGAACGCUGGCGGCAGGCCUAACACAUGCAAGUCGAACGGUAACAGGAAGAAGCUUGCUUCUUUGCUGACGAGUGGCGGACGGGUGAGUAAUGUCUGGGAAACUGCCUGAUGGAGGGGGAUAACUACUGGAAACGGUAGCUAAUACCGCAUAACGUCGCAAGACCAAAGAGGGGGACCUUCGGGCCUCUUUCCAUCGGCUUUUCCCAGGUGGGAUUAGCUAGUAGGUGGGGUAACGGCUCACCUAGGCGACGAUCCCUAGCUGGUCUGAGAGGAUGACCAGCCACACUGGAACUGAGACACGGUCCAGACUCCUACGGGAGGCAGCAGUGGGGAAUAUUGCACAAUGGGCGCAAGCCUGAUGCAGCCAUGCCGCGUGUAUGAAGAAGGCCUUCGGGUUGUAAAGUACUUUCAGCGGGGAGGAAGGGAGUAAAGUUAAUACCUUCGCUCAUUGACGUUACCCGCAGAAGAAGCACCGGCUAACUCAGUG